CGCGCGGCUCAGCGGGGGCGGCUUCGCGGCGGGGAAGGGGUACAGCCCGAGACCCCCAGCGACACGACAGCACCGGCGGCCUCGGCGCCGGGUCGGCGGCCAAAGUCGCCGGCAAUACAGAAAAAUGUCUGGUGGUGCCAGAAAACUCUUCACUGCUACAGACCCUUCCCAGCCUGAUCCGUCUCUUCUCCACAGGGGAAAUGGACCACGAGAAAGAGAAAAGUUUCAUGGUGGUUGGGAAGACAACUGAGGAGAGCAGGGAUGAGAGAUCUAUAUGGGUUGCAGAAGAUAUUCAUCAUCUGCCUACCAGCCCUGUGGGAAAUAUACCAAGAGAAUUAUUCCAGACAUUGCUCAUUUCUGCAAAUGGAAGGAGCUGA
Molecule: long non-coding RNA, 377 nt
Filed under: Apteryx rowi (Okarito brown kiwi)
Lineage: Eukaryota; Metazoa; Chordata; Aves; Apterygiformes; Apterygidae
Description: lncRNA (ENSARWG00000000370.1)
Source: RNAcentral